Molecule: ribosomal RNA, 253 nt
Filed under: uncultured bacterium
Lineage: Bacteria
Description: partial 16S ribosomal RNA
Rfam family: Bacterial small subunit ribosomal RNA
Source: RNAcentral
UACGUAGGGGGCAAGCGUUGUCCGGAAUCAUUGGGCGUAAAGCGCGCGUAGGUGGUCAUGUAAGUCCGCUGUGAAAGUCAAAGGCUCAACCUUUGAAAGCCGGUGGAUACUGCAUGACUAGAGUACGGAAGAGGCGAGUGGAAUUCCUGGUGUAGCGGUGGAAUGCGCAGAUAUCAGGAGGAACACCAAUAGCGAAGGCAGCUCGCUGGGACGUUACUGACACUGAGGCGCGAAAGCGUGGGGAGCGAACGGG